Non-coding RNA from Drosophila virilis, 4834 nucleotides. NCBI's taxonomy places the organism in Eukaryota, Metazoa, Arthropoda, Insecta, Diptera, Drosophilidae. The record is from RefSeq and is a predicted model, not a curated record.
AGCUGCUUUUGAAGAAUUUUUUAUUGCAAUUUUUCCUCUGAUUUAUUCAGCGUUUUUUUUUUUAUUCUGUGGUGAAGCUCAAUUUAUAGACAGCUGUGUCAGCAUUGAAAAUAUAAAUACAAGCACAUUUAUAAAUUCGUUUAUUAUAUAUAAAGUUCUAGAUGAAUAUUAACAGACGAGUUGUUAUAGACAUGGCUCUCAGUUUUUAAUCAAACUGGCGGACACUUGGCAAUGUUUCGCGUUUGUGCUAGUACAAAUAUUAGAAGUUCAUAUAUAUGUUUGUUAGAGUCGGCCAGAUUGCCAUUAGAACUAUUGCUGGAAAAUUCAAAUCUUAUAGAUCAAUCAUGGCAUUUCGAUAUCUCAUAAAAAUCGCUCGUUAAUUGAAAUACAUAUAAGAAAAACAAGCACGACUUCUGAAAGCUGUCUGCUCAGGGUAUUCAACCUUGGGUGCUAUGUAAAUAAUAUAUUCUGGUUUAUUUUUCUAUUGAUUGGGUAGCACUUGAACAUUUAAAGCUAGACAAAAUCUUGGGCUUGCGAAUUGAAUUCGAUACGGAUUUAUGGGCUUGCUGUGCGCGUGUUGCAUUUGUUACUGCUUCGGUUUCAAUUUGGGUUUUGGCUAUUGUCAUUGCCAUGGCAAAAAUAUUUUGCUUCCUUCUAAUAUUAAUUCAUGUUUCCCAGGUUGUGUGUGUAAGCGUCUUUUGGCAUGCUUUUCAAACGUAAUGUCGCAUUGUGUCAACUUCUCACUGCUGCUUAUUUGCCUCUUUUGCUCUUGCUUAACUUCAUUCCAACUACCCGCCGUCAGCGAGCCCUGUACGUGGGAUGGGUGUUAAGGGUGCAUUGCUUAAGGACUGUCGCAGCAUAUGAACAUUUUCUAAAUAUUUACAAAGACUUAGGAAUAUUCUAGAGUACGCAUUUUCGUACACUUUCUCAAGCGAUUUCGGUUCCGUUUGUUGUGAGCCCAUGGAUCAAUUAUAACCUGACCUGACCUUUCCGAUGUUCAGUUAACAUGCAAGCAAAUAGGUUUUUGGCAUGUCUCAGCAGUUGUAUGGCUGUUUGUAAAAAACGAAUCCUUAAAAAGCAUUAAAUAAUAUACUGAUAAAUGGCCGCAAGUGUUAAUAAAGGUGGGCUUAGUUAAGUAUGCUAUAUACACAAAAGGUAUUGAACUUGUUAUUUGUAUUAUUUUUCAAAUUGGUUUCAUGGGCUAAAAUUAUAAUUUUAUACUCCAUCAAGUCUAUUUUAAUUUAAAAAAUUGCAAGUUAAUUCCUGAAUUCUAUAAAUGACACAGCUUUGAAGGACUAUACAUAAGGAAGAAUACAAUGAAUGCAACCUUUUAAAUUCUUGAUAAUGAUUCUCCCUGUUUUUCUAUAUUAUCGCAUUAUCGCACACAACUAUUUGAAAACUAUUUAUAACCCGGUAAAAAUUGAUUUUGUAAUUUUUUUUUUAAGCACACAUUUUCGCAUUCCAUUUUUUAUGCUGUGGUCAACCGCCACAAUCCUUUUAUCCAGGACAUCCAUCAAUAUUUGCGUCGAUUAGCACUACAUUUGACAGAUUGACUAGCGCUGGGAUUUAAGGGACAUUUAAAUGUGUGUGUCUGUAAGUUUGCGCGUGUGUCUCGCGUGUGGGCCAGUUUCCGUUGCCAGUCAUCAAUCAAAAAUGGCGACUGCUCGCAAAAGUAUGCUAAUUAUUUGAUAACAAGUCGCGCGCAGUGAAUAAUCGGAGACUGUGUUUUAUAUCGGGGCGUGCAUUUGAAAAUCCUUUGGUCAAUUCGAAAAAGCUCUCUCUCCCAAAGGUUUCAUCAUAAUGCGCACUUGCCUUUUCAAUAGAGCAAUACAAAAAUUAAUCGCAUAUGCACAGGUUAGUUUGGGUGAAGUUCGGAAAGAAAUCGGAUACGUGUUCUCCGAAAACAAUUGACCGAGUUUCCUUUCGUCCUAAAAGUUGUCUUUGGGUUCUACGAGAAUAUGGCUAGAAAGAAAUGUUAUUGGCCAGCACAGUGGCUCAAAACAGUAUGAUUCGCAAGAAUAAUUUGCUGUUGCGGUCUUUCUUUCUUUUAUCUUAAAACAUUUUUGUUGAUAUAUUUAAACAUAGGUGAGUUGGCUUUUAUUUUUGGUAGAGUAUAUUGCAUAUACUCAUUUGGAGGCCAACAAAGCAUUGCGUCCUAGAAAAUAUUUAAGUUCUAAAAGUAAUGGGUCGUACUCCUCUUUGAAUCCGUAUUAUCCAUUAAUCCAUACUAAUAUCUGUCUGCAUAUGUUUGUUCCAUGCCUGUCGCCACUUUUUUUUCCAUAUUUGGUUGCUAAGGUAAAUAUAGUAAAGUUCAGGGAAACUCAAAUUAACUGCAUUCAUUAAUUUCGAAUGAAACUCAAUUAAAGAAGAGACAAUGCACAUUGCAUGCAUUUAUUUGACAUUUACUCAAUAUUAUGGGCCCAACAAACAAAACAGAAAACAUAUAUAAAUAAUAUGUAUAUAAAUAUAUAAAUAUAGAUAUCUAUAUUGCAGUCGGGUGCAAUCGACCGCGUUAUACUUGUUCAAAUGCAAAAAGCCUUAAAUAUAAACAAUAUUACUUUAGAUAAAUCCAUCUUUAUCCAACUUAGGUAACCCAUAAUAAUGAUUUUAAUUAUAUAAUCUGAGCAAUUUUUUGUUGCUAGUAUAAACGGAUAUUAUUCCAAAUUUUAAGAAAAUAUUGCAUCCAUACAAACAGACAAACGGACGAACGGACAGUGCACAAAGUGAAUGUACUCUUUUCCCUUUAUGAACGCGUACAAAAACAAUAGUAAUUAAAUAAUUGACCGCAAUAUUGGCAAAAAGCUGCCUUUAAUUUAAUUUAAGCUGAAUUUUAGAAAAAUAUAAACCAGUUUGUUGGGGAAAAUGUCAUAAAAUUAUGAGCCUAUUGUUGCUGACAAUAUCUAUGUUAGUAUGCACUCUAAGUAUAUACUGUGCAUUUUAAUUGAAGUUUAAUUCAUUUUAUUUGUCAAGGUCGUUUUAUUUCGUAUACUCUGAACACGUUUAAAAUGUGUAAAAAGGUAUAAAGAUUUGUGUGACAGGCAUAAGGAAGUAUUUUCGAACGCAUAAAGUAUGUAUAUUUUUGCUCAGUAUCAAUAGCCGAGUUCAUACUUAUUGACAUAUCCGUCUAUUUGCCUGGCAGUCUGUCCGAACGCGUCGAUCUCGAAAACCAUAAGAGCUAAAGAUAUGAAACUUGCCCAGUUUACAUGAUAUCGAUAAACACCGGUAUCAAAAUCCGUGUUUUUGACCACAUCUCUAAGAUUUUGAAAGCUGGUGACACCAAAUUUGAUAUAUAUACCUUCCUAUUGCAUACAUAGUAUACUUUUCUAUAGUAUAUAUAUGCAUACAUUAAAUGUCACUUUUCGGAUAACUUCCUUCGUUUCCAAAAACUUAAAUAACAGAACCAAGUUUUAUAGCUAUAGUCUUGAGCUUUAGUAUUUACACGCAUUUUGAUGCCAUAUUAAUGCUUUUCAAAUAUCACAAAUAUCGGACGAUAGCAGGAAUGUGUAGAAGGAAGCCAGAAUGUGCGCGUGGGCAGAUCGGCGCGAUGUUGAGGGUAUCUCCUAGCAGAGCACUCCCGACUAGGGCAGUCUUGUGUUUGUUUAUUCUACUUCAAUCAAGUAAUCUUUCAAUAGAUUGUAUAUAAAACAAUUGAAUUAACAGCUAACAAAAAUAUUCCCACUCAUUUUAAGUAUUUAUAUUUUUUAUAUAUUUCUGCAAGCCUGUGUCUUUAUUGGGAAAAAAAAGAAAAAGAAAAUAUUUGUAAACACAACAUGACUGAUUAUUUUGAAAUUCGCCAAUCUGCUGCCCAUCAACAACCUUGAAUUGUGUAUUUGCCGGACUAAGCUCAUAAGUUGCACAUCGUGUUCACAUAAACGGAUUUGUCCUGUUUUGCAUGCGCUGCCACGAGUAUAAAGCAUCAAGCUGCAUUUCCAUUAGAAACAUCGUGGGCGUUUAGGGUGGUUGUAUACGCAAGCAAAUUCUAAUUGGCUCUCGUAUGGACAACGGCAAAAACUAGGGACAGAUUUAUAUAUACACUAUUUAUGCCCCACUUACAGAACUCAAUGGAAUUCAAUUAACUUACUAAGUGGACGUCCAUGCUUUAUAACUGAGCAUAGUCAAGCGAAUAAUUCAUUGAAUUUUGAGCAUAAUAACCAAAUGCCAUUGUUAACGACCAUUAAGGGAUAAACAUAAAUAAGAUUGUCUAAUUGGAUUAUGGCCACAGCGCAACACGUGCGAGCCAAGUAGCUGGAAUAGUCAACUCUUAGAACGUUAAUGAGCGCUAGGUAGAAAAUUUACUGACAAAAUAGGUUUAUACUAAUUUUAAAAUAUUUUAAAAUUCUUAAAUUUGAUUUGCAUAUCAAAUUGGAACAAAUCCACAUGUCAGGAUGGAAAUGGCAGUCAACGGCAAGAAGUUAGAUGAGUGAAACACACUUGGCACGGGCAAAGCCGGGUAACACAUAAGUCUUUAAGCCUCAUAAACAACUUUUUAAUUUCGGCAUCCAAUGUUAGAAUAUAAUACUGAAGCAUAAUUUUCCAAUGAAACACAAAACAUGGGCCUCGCAAUUUAAUAGGAAUUUCAAAGUUUUUCAGCUAUAUUCUCUAAAAUUCUUAAAUUAGACGUACGUCGGCCGUUGGUUGCAUGCCACAUAGUUGCACAUUUGGGUAACAUGUUUUCGAAAUGGGAAGCUUACCUUUUGCUGUUACACUGUUAAUAUUUCAAAUCAAUUUGUUUUCACCAAUUUGCAAUUUUUUCUUGCGUUUAAAUUGAGUUUCAAAGUUUUCUGAAAUCAGCUCAGCUCUUGUUAGGCUACUCAAAUAAAAGUUUUAUGCCUUA